UGGGGAAUUUUGGACAAUGGGCGAAAGCCUGAUCCAGCAAUGCCGCGUGUGUGAAGAAGGCCUUCGGGUUGUAAAGCACUUUUGUCCGGAAAGAAAUCCUUGGCUCUAAUACAGUCGGGGGAUGACGGUACCGGAAGAAUGAGCACCGGCUAACUACGUGCCAGCAGCCGCGGUAAUACGUAGGGUGCAAGCGUUAAUCGGAAUUACUGGGCGUAAAGCGUGCGCAGGCGGUUUGCUAAGACCGAUGUGAAAUCCCCGGGCUCAACCUGGGAACUGCAUUGGUGACUGGCAGGCUAGAGUAUGGCAGAGGGGGGUAGAAUUCCACGUGUAGCAGUGAAAUGCGUAGAGAUGUGGAGGAAUACCGAUGGCGAAGGCAGCCCCCUGGGCCAAUACUGACGCUCAUGCACGAAAGCGUGGGGAGCAAACAGGAUUAGAUACCCUGGUAGUCCACGCCCUAAACGAUGUCAACUAGUUGUUGGGGACUUCAUUUCUUUAGUAACGUAGCUAACGCGUGAAGUUGACC
Molecule: ribosomal RNA, 523 nt
Filed under: uncultured bacterium
Lineage: Bacteria
Description: partial 16S ribosomal RNA
Rfam family: Bacterial small subunit ribosomal RNA
Source: RNAcentral